CUGAGUAUAAGCAUGCACUUUGCACUCCCCCAUGAUAAGGUGAAGGCAAUGUACAAGUCAUAAACGAUUGGAGCCUACCACGGUGGAAGGCCACAAAAAAGUGUUCAAAGCACUCUUACGCUUUCAACUUAAUAUUGUAUGUUGGUUGAGGGAUUUUAAGGUCUCAUCAAUUUUAUUUAUUUAAUCAUAUUCAAAUAAAUAAUGUCCUAUUACAACUACUAGUCCAAAGUUAAUGAAAUUAGUAGCAUAUGAUAUCCCCACUAUUCGUUUUUAAUAAAACAAAUCAAUAUCAAAACAUUUUUCAAAAUAUUGGAGAUAUAUAUAAACUACUAAUUGUAUUCAUUAUGGUUUAGUAGCGUAUGAUACUCCCACUAUUUGUUUUGAGAAAAACAAAUCAAUAUCAAAAACGAAUUUUUCAAAU
This 421-nucleotide long non-coding RNA is filed under the name Malus domestica (apple). RNAcentral's name for it is "long non-coding RNA (MDOM_LNC017513)". Lineage: Eukaryota; Viridiplantae; Streptophyta; Magnoliopsida; Rosales; Rosaceae. The record is from RNAcentral.